This 372-nucleotide ribosomal RNA is filed under the name uncultured bacterium. Its description in RNAcentral is "bacterial SSU rRNA". It matches the Rfam family "Bacterial small subunit ribosomal RNA", at positions 29 to 396 of the family's 1533-position model. The record is from RNAcentral.
AGUGAACGCUGGCGGCAGGCCUAAUACAUGCAAGUCGAACGGCAGCACAGCAGAGCUUGCUCUGUGGGUGGCGAGUGGCGGACGGGUGAGGAAUACAUGGGAAUCUGCCCAGUCGUGGGGGAUAACGUAUGGAAACGUACGCUAAUACCGCAUGCGCCCUACGGGGGAAAGCCGGGGACCGCAAGGCCUGGCGCGAUUGGAUGAGCCCAUGUUCGAUUAGCUAGUUGGCGGGGUAAAGGCCCACCAAGGCGACGAUCGAUAGCUGGUCUGAGAGGAUGAUCAGCCACACUGGAACUGAGACACGGCCCAGACUCCUACGGGAGGCAGCAGUGGGGAAUUUUGGACAAUGGGCGCAAGCCUGAUCCAGCAAUG